GAUGAACGCUAGCUACAGGCUUAACACAUGCAAGUCGAGGGGCAGCAUGGUCUUAGCUUGCUAAGGCCGAUGGCGACCGGCGCACGGGUGAGUAACACGUAUCCAACCUGCCGUCUACUCUUGGACAGCCUUCUGAAAGGAAGAUUAAUACAAGAUGCCAUCAUGAGUCCGCAUGUUCACAUGAUUAAAGGUAUUCCGGUAGACGAUGGGGAUGCGUUCCAUUAGAUAGUAGGCGGGGUAACGGCCCACCUAGUCUUCGAUGGAUAGGGGUUCUGAGAGGAAGGUCCCCCACAUUGGAACUGAGACACGGUCCAAACUCCUACGGGAGGCAGCAGUGAGGAAUAUUGGUCAAUGGGCGAGAGCCUGAACCAGCCAAGUAGCGUGAAGGAUGACUGCCCUAUGGGUUGUAAACUUCUUUUAUAAAGGAAUAAAGUCGGGUAUGGAUACCCGUUUGCAUGUACUUUAUGAAUAAGGAUCGGCUAACUCCGUGCCAGCAGCCGCGGUAAUACGGAGGAUCCGAGCGUUAUCCGGAUUUAUUGGGUUUAAAGGGAGCGUAGAUGGAUGUUUAAGUCAGUUGUGAAAGUUUGCGGCUCAACCGUAAAAUUGCAGUUGAUACUGGAUAUCUUGAGUGCAGUUGAGGCAGGCGGAAUUCGUGGUGUAGCGGUGAAAUGCUUAGAUAUCACGAAGAACUCCGAUUGCGAAGGCAGCCUGCUAAGCUGCAACUGACAUUGAGGCUCGAAAGUGUGGGUAUCAAACCAGG
This 760-nucleotide ribosomal RNA is filed under the name uncultured bacterium. RNAcentral describes it as "bacterial SSU rRNA". It matches the Rfam family "Bacterial small subunit ribosomal RNA", at positions 28 to 777 of the family's 1533-position model. The record is from RNAcentral.